Molecule: non-coding RNA, 260 nt
Organism: Kluyvera ascorbata ATCC 33433
Lineage: Bacteria; Pseudomonadati; Pseudomonadota; Gammaproteobacteria; Enterobacterales; Enterobacteriaceae
Source: Rfam
CAUCGGCAAGGGAGCCGGAAGGAAUUCAGACUCAGGAUGAGCGGUCAGGAACGCCAGGAGGCGAAGACCGAAGGAAUUAGCCAGGAAGGCGAACGUCUGGAGACGUUGAACACGGAUAAGGACCAUAACAGGGACUGUUAUAGAGCUAACGGAUAGACAGGGCGCGUUGAGAGCCAACAUGGAAUGUAUAACCCGUAGAGGGUUGUGAGUCAGGAAAAAAGGCGACAGAUUACUCUGUCGCCUUUUUUCUUUGUUUGCUU